Molecule: ribosomal RNA, 253 nt
Filed under: uncultured bacterium
Lineage: Bacteria
Description: partial 16S ribosomal RNA
Rfam family: Bacterial small subunit ribosomal RNA
Source: RNAcentral
UACGUAGGGGGCUAGCGUUGUCCGGAAUCAUUGGGCGUAAAGAGCGCGUAGGCGGCUUCGCAAGUCCGGGGUGAAAGCCCCCAGCUCAACUGGGGAAGUGCCUUGGAUGCUGCGGGGCUCGAGCGAGGCAGGGGUCGUGGGAACUUCCGGUGGAGCGGUGAAAUGCGUUGAUAUCGGAAGGAACGCCGGUGGCGAAAGCGCACGACUGGUCCUCUUCUGACGCUGAGGCGCGAAAGCCAGGGGAGCAAACGGG